Molecule: ribosomal RNA, 693 nt
Filed under: uncultured Rhizophagus
Lineage: Eukaryota; Fungi; Glomeromycota; Glomeromycetes; Glomerales; Glomeraceae
Description: SSU rRNA
Rfam family: Eukaryotic small subunit ribosomal RNA
Source: RNAcentral
UGUUAGGGCACGACACCGGAGAGGGAGCCUGAGAAACGGCUACCACAUCCAAGGAUGGCAGCAGGCGCGCAAAUUACCCAAUCCCGACACGGGGAGGUAGUGACAAUAAAUAACAAUACGGGGUUCUUUCGGAUCUCGUAAUUGGAAUGAGUACAAUUUAAAUCUCUUAACGAGGAACAAUUGGAGGGCAAGUCUGGUGCCAGCAGCCGCGGUAAUUCCAGCUCCAAUAGCGUAUAUUAAAGUUGUUGCAGUUAAAAAGCUCGUAGUUGAAUUUCGGGGUUAGUAGGUUGGUCAUGCCUCUGGUAUGUACUGGUCUCACUGAUUCCUCCUUCCUGAUGAACCGUAAUGCCAUUAAUUUGGUGUUUCGGGGAAUUUGGACUGUUACUUUGAAAAAAUUAGAGUGUUUAAAGCAAGCUAACGCUUGAAUACAUUAGCAUGGAAUAAUGAAAUAGGACGUUCGAUCCUAUUUUGUUGGUUUCUAGGAUUGACGUAAUGAUUAAUAGGGAUAGUUGGGGGCAUUAGUAUUCAAUUGUCAGAGGUGAAAUUCUUGGAUUUAUUGAAGACUAACUACUGCGAAAGCAUUUGCCAAGGAUGUUUUCAUUAAUCAAGAACGAAAGUUAGGGGAUCGAAGACGAUCAGAUACCGUCGUAGUCUUAACCAUAAACUAUGCCGACUAGGGAUCGGAUGAUGUUA